UACGUAGGUGGCGAGCGUUAUCCGGAUUUACUGGGCGUAAAGCGUGUGUAGGCGGGGUAUCAAGUGGGGUGUGAAAUCGCUCGGCUUAACCGGGCGCGGUUAUGCCAGACUGUUAUUCUGGAGUGCGGGAGAGGGGCGUGGAAUUCCGGGUGUAGUGGUGAAAUGCGUAGAGAUCCGGAGGAACCCCAGAGGCGAAGGCGGCGCCCUGGCCCGACACUGACGCUCAGACACGACAGCAUGGGGAGCGAACGGG
This 253-nucleotide ribosomal RNA is filed under the name uncultured bacterium. RNAcentral's name for it is "partial 16S ribosomal RNA". It matches the Rfam family "Bacterial small subunit ribosomal RNA", at positions 524 to 776 of the family's 1533-position model. The record is from RNAcentral.